GUCAGGAUGGCCGAGUGGUCUAAGGCGCCAGACUCAAGGCACGGCCUUCCCCCGGGGUGUUCUGGUCUCCGUAUGGAGGCGUGGGUUCAAAUCCCACUUCUGACA
RNAcentral lists this transfer RNA (105 nucleotides) under Alligator mississippiensis (American alligator). It matches the Rfam family "tRNA". Rfam says of the family: Transfer RNA (tRNA) molecules are approximately 80 nucleotides in length. Their secondary structure includes four short double-helical elements and three loops (D, anti-codon, and T loops). The record is from Rfam by way of RNAcentral. Lineage: Eukaryota; Metazoa; Chordata; Crocodylia; Alligatoridae.